This 1272-nucleotide ribosomal RNA is filed under the name Bacillus subtilis. RNAcentral's name for it is "bacterial SSU rRNA". It matches the Rfam family "Bacterial small subunit ribosomal RNA", at positions 92 to 1350 of the family's 1533-position model. Lineage: Bacteria; Bacillati; Bacillota; Bacilli; Caryophanales; Bacillaceae. The record is from RNAcentral.
GUUGCGGCGGAGGGUGAGUAACACGUGGGUAACCUGCCUGUAAGACUGGGAUAACUCCGGGAAACCGGGGCUAAUACCGGAUGGUUGUUUGAACCGCAUGGUUCAGACAUAAAAGGUGGCUUCGGCUACCACUUACAGAUGGACCCGCGGCGCAUUAGCUAGUUGGUGAGGUAACGGCUCACCAAGGCGACGAUGCGUAGCCGACCUGAGAGGGUGAUCGGCCACACUGGGACUGAGACACGGCCCAGACUCCUACGGGAGGCAGCAGUAGGGAAUCUUCCGCAAUGGACGAAAGUCUGACGGAGCAACGCCGCGUGAGUGAUGAAGGUUUUCGGAUCGUAAAGCUCUGUUGUUAGGGAAGAACAAGUGCCGUUCAAAUAGGGCGGCACCUUGACGGUACCUAACCAGAAAGCCACGGCUAACUACGUGCCAGCAGCCGCGGUAAUACGUAGGUGGCAAGCGUUGUCCGGAAUUAUUGGGCGUAAAGGGCUCGCAGGCGGUUUCUUAAGUCUGAUGUGAAAGCCCCCGGCUCAACCGGGGAGGGUCAUUGGAAACUGGGGAACUUGAGUGCAGAAGAGGAGAGUGGAAUUCCACGUGUAGCGGUGAAAUGCGUAGAGAUGUGGAGGAACACCAGUGGCGAAGGCGACUCUCUGGUCUGUAACUGACGCUGAGGAGCGAAAGCGUGGGGAGCGAACAGGAUUAGAUACCCUGGUAGUCCACGCCGUAAACGAUGAGUGCUAAGUGUUAGGGGGUUUCCGCCCCUUAGUGCUGCAGCUAACGCAUUAAGCACUCCGCCUGGGGAGUACGGUCGCAAGACUGAAACUCAAAGGAAUUGACGGGGGCCCGCACAAGCGGUGGAGCAUGUGGUUUAAUUCGAAGCAACGCGAAGAACCUUACCAGGUCUUGACAUCCUCUGACAAUCCUAGAGAUAGGACGUCCCCUUCGGGGGCAGAGUGACAGGUGGUGCAUGGUUGUCGUCAGCUCGUGUCGUGAGAUGUUGGGUUAAGUCCCGCAACGAGCGCAACCCUUGAUCUUAGUUGCCAGCAUUCAGUUGGGCACUCUAAGGUGACUGCCGGUGACAAACCGGAGGAAGGUGGGGAUGACGUCAAAUCAUCAUGCCCCUUAUGACCUGGGCUACACACGUGCUACAAUGGACAGAACAAAGGGCAGCGAAACCGCGAGGUUAAGCCAAUCCCACAAAUCUGUUCUCAGUUCGGAUCGCAGUCUGCAACUCGACUGCGUGAAAGCUGGAAUCGCUAGUAAUCGCGGAUC